CCGGAGAUGCAAGAGAGCCUGAUGGAGUCCCUGGUUCAGGAAGAUAUCUUGGAGAAGGAAAUGACAAUCCACUCCAGUAUUCUUGCCAGGAAAAUUCCAUGGACAGAGGAGCCUUGCAGACUACAGUCCAUGGGGUCGCAGAGUCAGGCAGGACUGAGCGUGUACAGUGGUCGGAGGACAUGGGAGGGAGACACACACACACUACAGUGUCUUUUCCUUCUGGACCGGAGCAGCUGUGUUUUCUUCACAGUGAAUGAAUGGAAACAGCUGGAGUACUUGUCUCAGGAAGUGGGCCAGCCUAAGUCUUCAAGGAGAAGGAAGUAUGAAAUUGAGUGAGGGGCCAGCUGGGGACUUUGCACCCUACCAGAUGUAUUUGAACAUGUGAGGAAGGUAUUAAAAAAAAUUACUGAGGUAUAGUUGAUUUACAAUGUUGUAUUAAUUUCUACUAUACAGCAAAUUUAUUCGGUUAAACAUUAUAUAUAUUCUUUAUCAUAUUCUUGUCCAUUAUGGUUUAUCACAGCAUACUGAAUAUAGCUUUUUGUGCUACACAAUCAGACUUUGUUGUUUAUUCAUUCUUUUUAUACUAGUUUGCAUCUGCUACUCCCAAACACCCAGUCCAUCCCUCCCCUCAUGUCUUUGGCAACUCCAAGUCUGUUUCUGAUUUGCAGAUAAGUUCCUUUCUGUCAUAUUUUAGAUUCCACAAAUAAGCGAUAUCAUAUGGCAUUUGUCUUUUCCUGCGUUACUUUGCUCAGUAUGAUAAUCUCUAGGUCCAUCCAUGUUGCUGCAACUGACAUUGUCUCAUUCUUUUUCAGGGCUGAGGAAUACUCCAUUGUACAUAUGUAAAACAUUCUUUACCCAUCCUCUGUUAAUGGACAUUGAGGUUGUUUUCCCAUCUUGGCUAUGUUAAACAGUGUCUGCUAAGAAUAUUGGGUUGCAAGUAUCUUUUUGAAUUAUAGUUUUGUCUGGUUACAUGCCAAGGAGUGGGAUUGCUGGAUCAUAUGGAAACCCUACUUUCAGUUUUUUGAGGAACCUCUGCACCAUUGUCCACAGUGCCACAUCAGUUUACCUUCUCACCCACAGUGUAGAAGGUUUCCCUUUUCUCCACACCUUCUCCAGCACCAGGGGGUGCCUUUUGGAUGUUUGCAGUGAUUGGAAUGCACUAGCGGCUUUUGGGAAGUGUUAGCCAGGCAUUGGAGAAGGAAAUGGCAACCCACUCCAGUAUUCUUGCCUGGAGAAUCCCAGGGACGGGGGAGCCUGGUGGGCUUCCGUCUAUGGGGUCACAUAGAGUUGGACACAACUGAAGCGACUUAGGGGCAGCAGCAGCAGCAGCCAGGGC
RNAcentral lists this long non-coding RNA (1336 nucleotides) under Bos indicus x Bos taurus (hybrid cattle). RNAcentral's name for it is "lncRNA (ENSBIXG00005007429.1)". Lineage: Eukaryota; Metazoa; Chordata; Mammalia; Artiodactyla; Bovidae. The record is from RNAcentral.